Molecule: ribosomal RNA, 1347 nt
Filed under: uncultured bacterium
Lineage: Bacteria
Description: bacterial SSU rRNA
Rfam family: Bacterial small subunit ribosomal RNA
Source: RNAcentral
GACGAACGCUGGCGGCGUGCUUAACACAUCCUAGUCGAACGGAAAGGCCCUGCUUUUGUGGGGUGCUCGAGUGGCGAACGGGUGAGUAACACGUGAGUAACCUGCCCUUGACUUUGGGAUAACUUCAGGAAACUGGGGCUAAUACCGGAUAGGAGCUCCUGCUGCAUGGUGGGGGUUGGAAAGUUUCGGCGGUUGGGGAUGGACUCGCGGCUUAUCAGCUUGUUGGUGGGGUAGUGGCUUACCAAGGCUUUGACGGGUAGCCGGCCUGAGAGGGUGACCGGCCACAUUGGGACUGAGAUACGGCCCAGACUCCUACGGGAGGCAGCAGUGGGGAAUAUUGCACAAUGGGCGGAAGCCUGAUGCAGCAACGCCGCGUGCGGGAUGACGGCCUUCGGGUUGUAAACCGCUUUCGCCUGUGACGAAGCGUGAGUGACGGUAAUGGGUAAAGAAGCACCGGCUAACUACGUGCCAGCAGCCGCGGUGAUACGUAGGGUGCGAGCGUUGUCCGGAUUUAUUGGGCGUAAAGGGCUCGUAGGUGGUUGAUCGCGUCGGAAGUGUAAUCUUGGGGCUUAACCCUGAGCGUGCUUUCGAUACGGGUUGACUUGAGGAAAGGUAGGGGAGAAUGGAAUUCCUGGUGGAGCGGUGGAAUGCGCAGAUAUCAGGAGGAACACCAGUGGCGAAGGCGGUUCUCUGGGCCUUUCCUGACGCUGAGGAGCGAAAGCGUGGGGAGCGAACAGGCUUAGAUACCCUGGUAGUCCACGCUGUAAACGGUGGGUACUAGGUGUGGGGUCCAUUCCACGGGUUCCGUGCCGUAGCUAACGCUUUAAGUACCCCGCCUGGGGAGUACGGCCGCAAGGCUAAAACUCAAAGGAAUUGACGGGGCCCCGCACAAGCGGCGGAGCAUGCGGAUUAAUUCGAUGCAACGCGUAGAACCUUACCUGGGUUUGACAUGGAUCGGGAGUGCUCAGAGAUGGGUGUGCCUCUUUUGGGGUCGGUUCACAGGUGGUGCAUGCCUGUCGUCAGCUCGUGUCGUGAGAUGUUGGGUUAAGUCCCGCAACGAGCGCAACCCUUGUUCACUGUUGCCAGCACGUUAUGGUGGGGACUCAGUGGAGACCGCCGGGGUCAACUCGGAGGAAGGUGGGGAUGACGUCAAGUCCUCAUGCCCCUUAUGUCCAGGGCUUCACGCAUGCUACAAUGGCUGGUACAGAGAGUGGCGAGCCUGUGAGGGUGAGCGAAUCUCGGAAAGCCGGUCUCAGUUCGGAUUGGGGUCUGCAACUCGACCUCAUGAAGUCGGAGUCGCUAGUAAUCGCAGAUCAGCAACGCUGCGGUGAAUACAAUCCCGGGGCU